RNAcentral lists this long non-coding RNA (925 nucleotides) under Struthio camelus australis. RNAcentral describes it as "lncRNA (ENSSCUG00000014226.1)". The record is from RNAcentral. Lineage: Eukaryota; Metazoa; Chordata; Aves; Struthioniformes; Struthionidae.
UUCAACUCCCUCCUGUUCUUUGUAUUGCAAGACAUAGUUAAUGAAUGCUUCUUUACCUCUGGUAGUCAGCAUUUCAGAAACCUGUAUUAUGUGCCCCUUCAUCAUCUCUUUUCUGAUAGAUCUCUUAAAACAGUUAAUCUGCAUACAGAAGUUCCAUUGAAUCUGGACCAGGCCCGUAUUUGAGGUGGUUGGCUCAGAACUGCAGGCACUAUUCAAGGAGAGAAUGUGCCUUUCAUUUAGAUACUGUCAUAGCUGUGUAAAAGAAUUACCUCCCUUGGCUGAGCUGAUCCGCGUUCAAGCUGUUUCUAACACGUGACUCAUAACUUUUUUUCCGGUGUGUACUGACAUUUAACUGGGCGGUGACUGGUGAGUUUAGAAGAAAGCAGGAAAAUGAAUUCCAGGUGAAUGCGUGAGCUCACCAGCUUCUGUACAGAUCAGAUUUAUCAAGAGCAUUACCAGAAACAGUGGGGCAGAUGAACAGUCUUGGGUUGUUGUGUUUCUUCUGUGUCAAGCUUCUAUUCCAGAUCUCCUGUGCAGAGAACCCUGAUGUAUCCAGAUGGAUCCAAGAUGACCAUAUUAUCCUGAUAGUUCUUGUUGUUAUGGUCUCCAUUCUCAGCCUCCUUGCCAUUGUGUUCCUCUUUUGCUACUGUGCAGGACGCCACUCAAAAGAUCCUGAAAGAGGGAGACUCAUCAAUAAGAAUGAAGGGGUGAAGAAGAGGGGAAGACAGACCAUGACAGACAGGAGAAAGGGAUGGAUCUGGGCCAAAUGGAAAGAGAGGGGGUUCCCUAGGAGUUGGAGGCAAGUUCAUGUUGGGCAGAUUGUGUUACCAGCAACAUUUCAAAACCCAGAAAUAGGAUGUGUACUCGCAAAAAUAUUUUUCACUCUUUUACAGAAAAUGUGGCUGUAGUAUCAGGUAAGUCUAUC